Molecule: ribosomal RNA, 506 nt
Filed under: uncultured bacterium
Lineage: Bacteria
Description: partial 16S ribosomal RNA
Rfam family: Bacterial small subunit ribosomal RNA
Source: RNAcentral
AGUGAACGCUGGCGGUAGGCCUAACACAUGCAAGUCGAACGGCAGCACAGGAGAGCUUGCUCUCUGGGUGGCGAGUGGCGGAUGGGUGAGGAAUACAUCGGAAUCUACUCUGUCGUGGGGGAUAACGUAGGGAAACUUACGCUAAUACCGCAUACGACCUACGGGUGAAAGCAGGGGAUCUUCGGACCUUGCGCGAUUGAAUGAGCCGAUGUCGGAUUAGCUAGUUGGCGGGGUAAAGGCCCACCAAGGCGACGAUCCGUAGCUGGUCUGAGAGGAUCAUCAGCCACACUGGAACUGAGACACGGUCCAGACUCCUACGGGAGGCAGCAGUGGGGAAUAUUGGACAAUGGGCGCAAGCCUGAUCCAGACAUACCGCGUGGGUGAAGAAGGCCUUCGGGUUGUAAAGCCCUUUUGUUGGGAAAGAAAUCCAGCUGGCUAAUACCCGGUUGGGAUGACGGUACCCAAAGAAUAAGCACCGGCUAACUUCGUGCCAGCCGCCGCCGUAA